This 104-nucleotide ribosomal RNA is filed under the name Chloropicon laureae. RNAcentral describes it as "partial Eukaryotic large subunit ribosomal RNA". The record is from RNAcentral. Lineage: Eukaryota; Viridiplantae; Chlorophyta; Chloropicophyceae; Chloropicales; Chloropicaceae.
CUUUCUCAGCGCAAUUAUCCACCUGCAGUUCUGGCUUCCAAAGAACCCGGCCUUGGCGAGCUCGAUUGGCAUGGCCUUUGGGGGGCUUGGGAGCGUGGUGAUGG